This 254-nucleotide ribosomal RNA is filed under the name uncultured bacterium. RNAcentral's name for it is "partial 16S ribosomal RNA". It matches the Rfam family "Bacterial small subunit ribosomal RNA", at positions 524 to 776 of the family's 1533-position model. The record is from RNAcentral.
UACGGAGGGUGCAAGCGUUGUCCGGAAUCACUGGGCGUAAAGGGCGCGUAGGCGGCUCAUGAAGGCUGUGGUGAAAGUCCGGGGCUCAACCUCGGAUCGGCCGUGGCGACUCGUGGGCUGGAGCACUGUAGAGGCGGGUGGAAUUCCGGGUGUAGCGGUGGAAUGCGUAGAGAUCCGGAAGAACACCAGUGGCGAAGGCGGCCCGCUGGGCAGUGGCUGACGGCUGGGGCGCGACAGCGUGGGGAGCAAACAGG